AGGUGCAUUGCAGGGCAACUGCUCCAUUGGCAGAGGGAUAUGGAUGUGGCUUACGCCUCUUACGUUGCUCUUUUGUCUAUCUGCCAAAGGAGAUUUGCCCCGCGAUUCACCA
This is a non-coding RNA of Triticum urartu, 112 nucleotides long. NCBI's taxonomy places the organism in Eukaryota, Viridiplantae, Streptophyta, Magnoliopsida, Poales, Poaceae. The record is from Rfam.